GGGCGGCUAGCUCAGCUGGUUAGAGCGCUUCCUUCACACGGAAGAGGUCACAGGUUCGAGUCCUGUGUCGCCCACCA
RNAcentral lists this transfer RNA (77 nucleotides) under SAR202 cluster bacterium. RNAcentral describes it as "tRNA-Val". It matches the Rfam family "tRNA". Rfam says of the family: Transfer RNA (tRNA) molecules are approximately 80 nucleotides in length. The record is from RNAcentral. Lineage: Bacteria; Bacillati; Chloroflexota; Dehalococcoidia.